RNAcentral lists this ribosomal RNA (453 nucleotides) under uncultured bacterium. RNAcentral describes it as "SSU rRNA". It matches the Rfam family "Bacterial small subunit ribosomal RNA", at positions 26 to 518 of the family's 1533-position model. The record is from RNAcentral.
AGAUUGAACGCUGGCGGCGUGCCUAACACAUGCAAGUCGAGCGGUAACAGGUGUAGCAAUACAUCACCGGCGGACGGGUGCGUAACACGUGGGAAUAUACCUUUUGGUUCGGAACAACGCAGGGAAACUUGCGCUAAUACCGAAUGUGCCCUUACGGGGAAAGAUUUAUCGCCAAAGGAUUAGCCCGCGUAGGAUUAGCUAGUUGGUGAGGUAAUGGCUCACCAAGGCUCCGAUCCUUAGCUGUUCUGAGAGGAAGAUCAGCCACACUGGGACUGAGACACGGCCCAGACUCCUACGGGAGGCAGCAGUUGGGAAUCUUGGACAAUGGGGGAAACCCUGAUCCAGCCAUGCCGCGUGAGUGAUGAAGGCCUUCGGGUUGUAAAACUCUUUCGACGGGGACGAUAAUGACGGUACCGUAGAAGAAGCUCCGGCUAACUUCGUGCCAGCAGCCGC